CUACGUCUUGGGUUCGCACUGUUGCUUAGAUCCUGCUUCUAACCUCUAUAGAAACAACGGUCGAGUGAUUGCCACCCACCGGACAACUUGACCUC
RNAcentral lists this ribosomal RNA (95 nucleotides) under Russula arunii. RNAcentral describes it as "partial 28S ribosomal RNA". Lineage: Eukaryota; Fungi; Basidiomycota; Agaricomycetes; Russulales; Russulaceae. The record is from RNAcentral.